RNAcentral lists this ribosomal RNA (554 nucleotides) under uncultured bacterium. RNAcentral's name for it is "partial 16S ribosomal RNA". It matches the Rfam family "Bacterial small subunit ribosomal RNA", at positions 355 to 900 of the family's 1533-position model. The record is from RNAcentral.
UAGGGAAUCUUCCACAAUGGACGCAAGUCUGAUGGAGCAACGCCGCGUGAGUGAAGAAGGUUUUCGGACCGUAAAGCUCUGUUGUUGGUGAAGAAGGAUAGAGGUAGUAACUGGCCUUUAUUUGACGGUAAUCAACCAGAAAGUCACGGCUAACUACGUGCCAGCAGCCGCGGUAAUACGUAGGUGGCAAGCGUUGUCCGGAUUUAUUGGGCGUAAAGCGAGCGCAGGCGGAAGAAUAAGUCUGAUGUGAAAGCCCUCGGCUUAACCGAGGAAUUGCAUCGGAAACUGUUUUCUUGAGUGCAGAAGAGGAGAGUAGAACUCCAUGUGUAGCGGUGGAAUGCGUAGAUAUAUGGAAGAAUACCAGUGGCGAAGGCGGCUCUCUGGUCCGCAACUGACGCUGAGGCUCGAAAGCAUGGGCAGCGAACAGGAUUAGAUACCCUGGUAGUCCAUGCCGUAAACGAUGAGUGCUAAGUGUUGGGAGGCUUCCGCCUCUCAGUGCUGCAGCUAACGCAUUAAGCACUCCGCCUGGGGGAGUACGACCGCAAGGUUGAAAC